This 422-nucleotide ribosomal RNA is filed under the name uncultured bacterium. RNAcentral describes it as "partial 16S ribosomal RNA". It matches the Rfam family "Bacterial small subunit ribosomal RNA", at positions 360 to 774 of the family's 1533-position model. The record is from RNAcentral.
AAUCUUCCACAAUGGACGAAAGUCUGAUGGAGCAACGCCGCGUGAGCGAAGAAGGUUUNCGGAUCNUNAAGCUCUGUUGUGAGGGNCGAACAAGUACAGGAGUAACUGUCUGUACCUUGACGGUACCUCAUUAGAAAGCCACGGCUAACUACGUGCCAGCAGCCGCGGUAAUACGUAGGUGGCAAGCGUUGUCCGGAAUUAUUGGGCGUAAAGCGCGCGCAGGCGGCCUUUUAAGUCUGAUGUGAAAGCCCACGGCUUAACCGUGGAAGGUCAUUGGAAACUGAGAGGCUUGAGUACAGAAGAGGAAAGCGGAAUUCCACGUGUAGCGGUGAAAUGCGUAGAGAUGUGGAGGAACACCAGUGGCGAAGGCGGCUUUCUGGUCUGUAACUGACGCUGAGACGCGAAAGCGUGGGGAGCAAACA